GGGGAAUAUUGCACAAUGGGCGAAAGCCUGAUGCAGCAACGCCGCGUGAGUGAUGAAGGUCUUCGGAUCGUAAAGCUCUGUCUUCUGGGACGAUAAUGACGGUACCAGAGGAGGAAGCCACGGCUAACUACGUGCCAGCAGCCGCGGUAAUACGUAGGUGGCAAGCGUUGUCCGGAUUCACUGGGCGUAAAGGAUGUGUAGGCGGAUAUUUAAGUGAGAUGUGAAAUCCCCGGGCUUAACUUGGGGGCUGCAUUUCAAACUGGAUGUCUAGAGUGCAGGAGAGGAAAGCAGAAUUCCUAGUGUAGCGGUGAAAUGCGUAGAGAUUAGGAAGAAUACCAGUGGCGAAGGCGGCUUUCUGGACUGUAACUGACGCUGAGGCAUGAAAGCGUGGGGAGCAAAC
RNAcentral lists this ribosomal RNA (400 nucleotides) under uncultured bacterium. Its description in RNAcentral is "bacterial SSU rRNA". It matches the Rfam family "Bacterial small subunit ribosomal RNA", at positions 356 to 773 of the family's 1533-position model. The record is from RNAcentral.